Long non-coding RNA from Daphnia carinata, 195 nucleotides. RefSeq lists it as uncharacterized. The record is from RefSeq and is a predicted model, not a curated record. The transcript has 3 exons. Lineage: Eukaryota; Metazoa; Arthropoda; Branchiopoda; Diplostraca; Daphniidae.
GAAACUUGUGGUGUGCAUCUGACGGGCGAAAUAUUGGACACAUCAGGCAGCAAUGGGAAUAUCACAAGUUGUUAACAAGAUGUGGUGCCUUGGCCCUCAGUCUCUCUUCUCCAUGCCAGAUGGCCAUUAUGAAGGAUUAUAAAUGUGUGGAUUGUCGAGACAAACAUUGUGGUUCCUGCGGUUUCCUUAGUUAGG